Molecule: ribosomal RNA, 305 nt
Filed under: uncultured bacterium
Lineage: Bacteria
Description: bacterial SSU rRNA
Rfam family: Bacterial small subunit ribosomal RNA
Source: RNAcentral
UGUGCCUACGGGGCGCAGCAGUGGGGGAUAUUGCACAAUGGGGGGAACCCUGAUGCAGCGACGCCGCGUGGGUGAAGGAGUGCUUCGGCAUGUAAAGCCCUAUCGGCAGGGAAGAAGCAAGACGGUACCUGACUAAGAAGCCCCGGCUAACUACGUGCCAGCAGCCGCGGUAAUACGUAGGGGGCAAGCGUUAUCCGGAUUUACUGGGUGUAAAGGGAGCGUAGACGGCGAUGCAAGUCUGAAGUGAAAGGCGGGGGCCCAACCCCCGGACUGCUUUGGAAACUGUAUGGCUGGAGUGCAGGAGG